This 66-nucleotide transfer RNA is filed under the name Ophiophthalmus serratus. Its description in RNAcentral is "tRNA-Glu". The record is from RNAcentral. Lineage: Eukaryota; Metazoa; Echinodermata; Ophiuroidea; Amphilepidida; Ophiacanthidae.
GCCUCUAUAGUUAAACACAUAACAAUAAACUUUCUCUUUAUAAUUCCUUUUUAAGGUAGAGACUUA